UUUAAUUUGAAAUUCUUGAUUUUUUUGUUGUUCUUGUACUUGAGAAGCUAUAUAUAAUAAUUCACUCAAUACUAAUCUUAUUCUUCUAGUAGACUCACUGCGUUCAAAUUCCAAAGCAAGACCACUUUGUAGUGACUGAAUAAUAUUGUCAAGACCUGUUUUCUUUGUUCUACACAUUCUUUUGUUACAUCUAAUGGAGAUAUAAGACUCAUUCGAACUAAACAUGGUAAAAUUGGUCGUAUUUCUUUAUGAGAACAUACAGCUAAAACCGGUAUGUCUACAUUUUGUAUUGCAGUAAAAAUCCGUGGUGAUACACGGGCACUUUCUUGCAUGAUUAUUAUUUAUUUGUUAUUGUUUUAAAUUGAUUAAAUGUAAAAAUUAUAUACUAUAAAGUAAAUUUAUGAAUUAAUGUAAUUAUACUUUUAUUUGUCACGAUAUAUAUUUAUAUUAAAAUUAUAUUUAUAAAUAAAAUUGUAUUGCAAAUAAAA
Molecule: long non-coding RNA, 488 nt
Organism: Apis cerana (Asiatic honeybee)
Lineage: Eukaryota; Metazoa; Arthropoda; Insecta; Hymenoptera; Apidae
Source: RefSeq, a predicted model, not a curated record